RNAcentral lists this ribosomal RNA (374 nucleotides) under uncultured Desulfobulbus sp. RNAcentral's name for it is "bacterial SSU rRNA". It matches the Rfam family "Bacterial small subunit ribosomal RNA", at positions 1012 to 1382 of the family's 1533-position model. The record is from RNAcentral. Lineage: Bacteria; Pseudomonadati; Thermodesulfobacteriota; Desulfobulbia; Desulfobulbales; Desulfobulbaceae.
UAACUUCUUCGGGACAAUAGUACAAGGUGCUGCAUGGUUGUCGUCAGCUCGUGUCGUGAGAUGUUGGGUUAAGUCCCGCAACGAGCGCAACCCUUGCCUUUAGUUGCCAGCAGUUCGGCUGGGCACUCUAAAGGGACUGCCGGUGUUAAACCGGAAGAAGGUGGGGGAUGACGUCAAGUCCUCAUGGCCUUUAUGACCAGGGCUACACACGUACUACAAUGGCCGAUACAAAGGGCAGCGACACUGCGAGGUGAAGCCCAAAUCCCCGUAAAAUCGGUCUCAGUCCGGAUUGGAGUCUGCAACUCGACUCCAUGAAGUUGGAAUCGCUAGUAAUCGUGGAUCAGCAUGCCACGGUGAAUACGUUCCCGGGCCUU